GCCCGGGUGGCGGAACUGGUAGACGCAGGGGACUUAAAAUCCUCUGGGGCAAUCCCCCGUGCCGGUUCGAAUCCGGCCCCGGGCACCA
RNAcentral lists this transfer RNA (88 nucleotides) under Thermosulfuriphilus ammonigenes. RNAcentral describes it as "tRNA-Leu". It matches the Rfam family "tRNA". From Rfam's summary of the family: Transfer RNA (tRNA) molecules are approximately 80 nucleotides in length. Their secondary structure includes four short double-helical elements and three loops (D, anti-codon, and T loops). Further hydrogen bonds mediate the characteristic L-shaped molecular structure. tRNAs have two regions of fundamental functional importance: the anti-codon, which is responsible for specific mRNA codon recognition, and the 3' end, to which the tRNAs corresponding amino acid is attached (by aminoacyl-tRNA synthetases). tRNAs cope with the degeneracy of the genetic code in two manners: having more than one tRNA (with a specific anti-codon) for a particular amino acid; and 'wobble' base-pairing, i.e. permitting non-standard base-pairing at the 3rd anti-codon position. The record is from RNAcentral. Lineage: Bacteria; Pseudomonadati; Thermodesulfobacteriota; Thermodesulfobacteria; Thermodesulfobacteriales; Thermodesulfobacteriaceae.